This 279-nucleotide ribosomal RNA is filed under the name uncultured bacterium. RNAcentral's name for it is "partial 16S ribosomal RNA". It matches the Rfam family "Bacterial small subunit ribosomal RNA", at positions 506 to 784 of the family's 1533-position model. The record is from RNAcentral.
UGCCAGCAGCCGCGGUAAUACGGGGGUCCCAAGCGUUGUUCGGAAUUACUGGGCGUAAAGCGUACGUAGGCGGAUCAGAAAGUAUGGGGUGAAAUCCCAGGGCUCAACCCUGGAACUGCCUCAUAAACUCCUGGUCUUGAGUUCGAGAGAGGUGAGUGGAACUCCGAGUGUAGAGGUGAAAUUCGUAGAUAUUCGGAAGAACACCAGUGGCGAAGGCGGCUCACUGGCUCGAUACUGACGCUGAGGUGCGAAAGUGUGGGGAGCAAACAGGAUUAGAUA